This 88-nucleotide ribosomal RNA is filed under the name Oceanidesulfovibrio indonesiensis. The record is from RNAcentral. Lineage: Bacteria; Pseudomonadati; Thermodesulfobacteriota; Desulfovibrionia; Desulfovibrionales; Desulfovibrionaceae.
CCCGUUCCCAUUCCGAACACGGCAGUUAAGCCCUCCAUCGCCAAUGAUACUGCGGAGGAGUCCGUGGGAAAGUAGGUCGCUGCCAGGG